GAUCCUGGCUCAGGAUGAACGCUGGCGGCAUGCCUAAGACAUGCAAGUCGAACGAGGUGGCCCAAAGAAGAUUGAGUGCUUGCACAAGAUUGGACUUGGAUUACCACCUAGUGGCGGACGGGUGAGUAACACGUAGGUGACCUGCCUUUGAGUUUGGGAUAACUAUUAGAAAUGAUAGCUAAUACCGGAUUAAAUACAGAUUCGUUUCUGUAUUAAAAGGAGCCUUUAAAGCUUCGCUUAAAGAUGGG
This 248-nucleotide ribosomal RNA is filed under the name uncultured bacterium. RNAcentral describes it as "partial 16S ribosomal RNA". It matches the Rfam family "Bacterial small subunit ribosomal RNA", at positions 15 to 229 of the family's 1533-position model. The record is from RNAcentral.